This 408-nucleotide ribosomal RNA is filed under the name uncultured bacterium. RNAcentral describes it as "partial 16S ribosomal RNA". It matches the Rfam family "Bacterial small subunit ribosomal RNA", at positions 28 to 526 of the family's 1533-position model. The record is from RNAcentral.
GACGAACGCUGGCGGCGUGCUUAACACAUGCAAGUCGAACGAAGUGGCGAACGGGUGAGUAACGCGUAAUCAACCUGCCCUUCAGAGGGGGACAACAGUUGGAAACGACUGCUAAUACCGCAUACUGAAGGAGGGGAUUGCGUUUGAUUAGCUAGUGGGGGGGGUAACGGCCCACCAAGGCGAUGAUCAGUAGCCGGUAUGAGAGGAUGUACGGCCCCAUGGGGACUGAGACACGGCCCAGACUUCUACGGGAGGCAGCAGUGGGGUAUCUUCCGCAAUUGACGAAAGUCUGACGGGGCAACGCCGCGUGAGUGAUGACGGCCUUCGGGUUGGAAAGCUCUGUUAAUCGGGACGCGGUACCGGAAGAGAAAGCCACGGCUAACUACGUGCCAGCAGCCGCGGUAGUAC